Molecule: ribosomal RNA, 468 nt
Filed under: uncultured bacterium
Lineage: Bacteria
Description: partial 16S ribosomal RNA
Rfam family: Bacterial small subunit ribosomal RNA
Source: RNAcentral
GACGAACGCUGGCGGCGUGCUUAACACAUGCAAGUCGAACGGAAAGGCCCUGCUUUUGUGGGGUGCUCGAGUGGCGAACGGGUGAGUAACACGUGAGUAACCUGCCCUUGACUUUGGGAUAACUUCAGGAAACUGGGGCUAAUACCGGAUAGGAGCUCCUGCUGCAUGGUGGGGGUUGGAAAGUUUCGGCGGUUGGGGAUGGACUCGCGGCUUAUCAGCUUGUUGGUGGGGUAGUGGCUUACCAAGGCUUUGACGGGUAGCCGGCCUGAGAGGGUGACCGGCCACAUUGGGACUGAGAUACGGCCCAGACUCCUACGAGAGGCAGCAGUGGGGAAUAUUGCACAAUGGGCGGAAGCCUGAUGCAGCAACGCCGCGUGCGGGAUGACGGCCUUCGGGUUGUAAACCGCUUUCGCCUGUGACGAAGCGCGAGUGACGGUAAUGGGUAAAGAAGCACCGGCUAACUACGUG